RNAcentral lists this ribosomal RNA (301 nucleotides) under uncultured bacterium. RNAcentral describes it as "partial 16S ribosomal RNA". It matches the Rfam family "Bacterial small subunit ribosomal RNA", at positions 509 to 809 of the family's 1533-position model. The record is from RNAcentral.
CAGCCGCCACGGUAAUACGUAGGGUGCAAGCGUUAAUCGGAAUUACUGGGCGUAAAGCGUGCGCAGGCGGUUCUAUAAGACAGAUGUGAAAUCCCCGGGCUCAACCUGGGAACUGCAUUUGUGACUGUAGUGCUGGAGUGCGGCAGAGGGGGAUGGAAUUCCGCGUGUAGCAGUGAAAUGCGUAGAUAUGCGGAGGAACACCGAUGGCGAAGGCAGUCCCCUGGGCCUGCACUGACGCUCAUGCACGAAAGCGUGGGGAGCAAACAGGAUUAGAUACCCCGGUAGUCCCUGUCUCUUAUAA